This is a long non-coding RNA of Chenopodium quinoa (quinoa), 479 nucleotides long. RefSeq lists it as uncharacterized. The record is from RefSeq and is a predicted model, not a curated record. Lineage: Eukaryota; Viridiplantae; Streptophyta; Magnoliopsida; Caryophyllales; Amaranthaceae. The transcript is spliced from 3 exons.
GCAUUAAGUGGACAAUCUAGGGGAAGUAAAUUGACAUGGCAUUUGGGACAGUGUCCUCAACAAUUGGGUGGACGUGAGUGUGGCUACUACGUCAUGCGUUAUAUGUACGAAAUACUUGAACAUCACCAUAGCAAUGAGGAUCUUAUUCAGGAUUUUUCAAGAACUACACCGUACACCGAGGAGGAGAUAAAUGAGAUUCGAGAUAUUUGGGCAGAGUAUUUUAUAUGUAAUGUUGAACUUUAGAUUUACACUUAGCGCAUGUUGGACUCUUGUUUUGGAUUAUAGGCUUGAAAUGAAUGAAUUUGGUUAAUUGGUGUUGGGAUGAUAAGUAUAAUGUCUAUGAUAUUGAGAUGUAAUUUAUUGGACAGGUUGUUAAUAUAAUGUCGUCAUUCCCAAUUUUAUGGGUAGGCCAAAUUACAAAGGAGACUCUGCCGAAAUUUACAUUUGCAUUAUUCAAUAAUAUUGCAUUUUAAUUUCAA